RNAcentral lists this ribosomal RNA (744 nucleotides) under uncultured Methanomicrobiaceae archaeon. Its description in RNAcentral is "bacterial SSU rRNA". It matches the Rfam family "Archaeal small subunit ribosomal RNA", at positions 85 to 834 of the family's 1478-position model. Lineage: Archaea; Methanobacteriati; Methanobacteriota; Methanomicrobia; Methanomicrobiales; Methanomicrobiaceae. The record is from RNAcentral.
ACUGCUCAGUAACACGUGGACAACCUACCCUAAGGAGGGGGAUAACCCCGGAAAACUGGGGAUAAUACCCCAUAGACUACAGAAGCUGGAAUGCUCUGUAAUCGAAAGGUCCGCCGCCUUAGGAUGGGUCUGCGGCUGAUUAGGUUGUUGUUAGGGUAACGGCCCAACAAGCCUGUAAUCAGUACGGGUUGUGGGAGCAAGAACCCGGGGAUGGAUUCUGAGACACGAAUCCAGGCCCUACGGGGCGCAGCAGGCGCGAAAACUUUACAAUGCGAGAAAUCGUGAUAAGGGAACCCCGAGUGCCCGUAAAUUCGGGCUGUUAAUCUGUGUAAAAAGCAGGUGGAGAAAGGGCCGGGCAAGACCGGUGCCAGCCGCCGCGGUAAUACCGGCGGCUCGAGUGGUGGCCACUAUUACUGGGCUUAAAGCGUCCGUAGCUGGAUUGUUAAGUCUCUUGGGAAAUCUACCGGCUUAACCGAUAGGCGUUCAAGGGAUACUGGCAAUCUAGGGACCGGAAGAGGUGAGAGGUACUCCAGGGGUAGGAGUGAAAUCCUGUAAUCCUUGGGGGACCACCUGUGGCGGAGGCGUCUCACCAGAACGGCUCCGACAGUGAGGGACGAAAGCUGGGGGAGCAAACCGGAUUAGAUACCCGGGUAGUCCCAGCCGUAAACGAUGUGCGUUAGGUGUAUCGGUGACCACGAGUCACCGAGGUGCCGAAGAGAAAUCGUGAAACGUACCGCCUGGGAA